UAGGGAAUCUUCGGCAAUGGACGGAAGUCUGACCGAGCAACGCCGCGUGAGUGAAGAAGGUUUUCGGAUCGUAAAGCUCUGUUGUAAGAGAAGAACGAGUGUGAGAGUGGAAAGUUCACACUGUGACGGUAUCUUACCAGAAAGGGACGGCUAACUACGUGCCAGCAGCCGCGGUAAUACGUAGGUCCCGAGCGUUGUCCGGAUUUAUUGGGCGUAAAGCGAGCGCAGGCGGUUAGAUAAGUCUGAAGUUAAAGGCUGUGGCUUAACCAUAGUACGCUUUGGAAACUGUUUAACUUGAGUGCAAGAGGGGAGAGUGGAAUUCCAUGUGUAGCGGUGAAAUGCGUAGAUAUAUGGAGGAACACCGGUGGCGAAAGCGGCUCUCUGGCUUGUAACUGACGCUGAGGCUCGAAAGCGUGGGGAGCAAACAGGAUUAGAUACCCUGGUAGUCCACGCCGUAAACGGUGAGUGCUAGGUGUUAGACCCUUUCCGGGGUUUAGUGCCGUAGCUAACGCAUUAAGCACUCCGCCUGGGGAGUACGACCGCAAGGUUG
This 550-nucleotide ribosomal RNA is filed under the name uncultured bacterium. RNAcentral's name for it is "bacterial SSU rRNA". It matches the Rfam family "Bacterial small subunit ribosomal RNA", at positions 355 to 896 of the family's 1533-position model. The record is from RNAcentral.